CCUGGGGAGUACGGCCGCAAGGUUAAAACUCAAAUGAAUUGACGGGGGCCCGCACAAGCGGUGGAGCAUGUGGUUUAAUUCGAUGCAACGCGAAGAACCUUACCUGGUCUUGACAUCCACAGAACUUAGCAGAGAUGCUUUGGUGCCUUCGGGAACUGUGAGACAGGUGCUGCAUGGCUGUCGUCAGCUCGUGUUGUGAAAUGUUGGGUUAAGUCCCGCAACGAGCGCAACCCUUAUCCUUUGUUGCCAGCGGUUCGGCCGGGAACUCAAAGGAGACUGCCAGUGAUAAACUGGAGGAAGGUGGGGAUGACGUCAAGUCAUCAUGGCCCUUACGACCAGGGCUACACACGUGCUACAAUGGCAUAUACAAAGAGAAGCGACCUCGCGAGAGCAAGCGGACCUCAUAAAGUAUGUCGUAGUCCGGAUUGGAGUCUGCAACUCGACUCCAUGAAGUCGGAAUCGCUAGUAAUCGUAGAUCAGAAUGCUACGGUGAAUACGUUCCCGGGCCUUGUACACACCGCCCGUCACACCAUGGGAGUGGGUUGCAAAAGAAGUAGGUAGCUUAACCUUCGGGAGGGCGCUUACCACUUUGUGAUUCAUGACUGGGGUGAAGUCGUAACAAGGUAACCGUAGGGGAACCUGCGGUUGGAUCACCUCCUUACCUUAAAGAA
RNAcentral lists this ribosomal RNA (671 nucleotides) under Klebsiella pneumoniae. RNAcentral's name for it is "bacterial SSU rRNA". It matches the Rfam family "Bacterial small subunit ribosomal RNA", at positions 872 to 1533 of the family's 1533-position model. Lineage: Bacteria; Pseudomonadati; Pseudomonadota; Gammaproteobacteria; Enterobacterales; Enterobacteriaceae. The record is from RNAcentral.